This 217-nucleotide ribosomal RNA is filed under the name Clostridioides difficile. RNAcentral's name for it is "partial 23S ribosomal RNA". It matches the Rfam family "Bacterial large subunit ribosomal RNA", at positions 442 to 660 of the family's 2925-position model. The record is from RNAcentral. Lineage: Bacteria; Bacillati; Bacillota; Clostridia; Peptostreptococcales; Peptostreptococcaceae.
AGCAGGAGGGACCACCCUCCAAGGCUAAAUACUACCUAGUGACCGAUAGCGUAUAGUACCGUGAGGGAAAGGUGAAAAGAACCCCGGGAGGGGAGUGAAAUAGAACCUGAAACCCUGCACUUACAAGCUGUGGAAGCACAUUUCUUGUGUGACCGCGUACUUUUUGUAGAACGGGCCAACGAGUUACGUUAAGUAGCAAGGUUAAGCACUUAAGGUG